This 3941-nucleotide long non-coding RNA is filed under the name Octopus vulgaris (common octopus). Lineage: Eukaryota; Metazoa; Mollusca; Cephalopoda; Octopoda; Octopodidae. The record is from RNAcentral.
GACGAUGCAGCGGGUGAGUCUUGCGGUUUUUCGUUUGUAUCCGCACGUUCCGUGCGGAGAAAUUAAAGAAUUUGGCCGUGCUUCAUUCUUGCCUCCGUGCAUGACAUUCCAACGACCGCUAUAAGUACUUCCUCUGAAGUCCAAUAUUCAUGAUCUACAUUGCAAGUGAAGUAAAGUACCCUGGACAAUAUUAUCUAGAGUUCUUGGAGUCAUCUACACCACAGGAAACCUUGACUGAUUUCGAAAAUUGCGAAGUGAGAAAAGUGCUCUAACGUGGCUAAGAGUUGUUUUGACUCUUAUUUCUAGCAAUGCUGUUGCCUACUAGCACUCUCCGCCACUUUAGUGACGACUAUACUUGUUGACUUUCGGUUCUAAAUUGCGAAUAGCCACCUUAAUAAAUUAUAAUUCUCACUUCAAUAUUUUCAAAAUCAAUCAAUGUUCCGUAUUGUGUUCUCUAUAAGGCUGAUAAAGUGAAUUAGAUUCUUUAACCCUCAGCGACGGAGUAAUGGGUCACAUGAAGAUUAGUUCAAUUUGCAAUCAGUGCUGAUAUAACUCGCUUGUAGUAAGGAGGGAGUCUGUCUCUCCUUUUAGUCAUUUAUAUAUAUAUAUAUAUAUAUAUAUAUAUACAUUAGUACAUAUACACAUACAUAGGUAUCCAUACAUACAAAUAUGCGUACAUAUAAAUAUACGUACACACACACACACACACACACACACACACACACACACACACACACACACACACACACACACGUGUGUGUAUAGUUAGUAAUCUGCUAUCCGUGUUUCAUUUAUCCAAAUUUCUGAUUAUUUGAAGUAGUUUCUAAGAUGUCAACAAUAUUUAUUUAUCUUUAUUUUUUUUUUUUUUUGCUUCUAUUAUCCACACUCCAGAAUAAUACUAGUGCUACAAUUUCGUUUCUUGUUUACAUUGGUUGCAAGUAAACUCUAAUAAAUAAACAUUAUGUAGAAAAUAUAAAUGAAAACAAGAUCAUAUCAAAAAGGUGUUACCUGCACUGGUAGAUAACACCCUGUUGACAAUUGCGUCUUUUCUCAUGAAAAAUACCACUCGUCGAUUGGCCAGCUAAUUUGAUAGCAGUCACAAAUAUAAAUAAGAGUAAAAUCCGUAUUAAGCGAAUGAAGCCAGUAUUUGAUUCAAAUAGUCAUCUAUGUAUCAUACUUAAUGUAUAAACAAUGUCGAUAGGCUAGUGCUUGUUUUGAGAUAACAUCUAUGCUAUAUUCGUUUGAGCAUGUAGCUGGCUAUGAUUACGAAUUAUUGACAACGCUCAAGAAGGCUGAAAUACAUCGGGUGUACACACUGGCCGGUCAUGGGACGAAUAUUCGCCUCUCUCUAAUAUUUAUAGUUUUUGACUCGGCAAGUUCAUGACACAUAUAAUCUCAUAUAUAAUCAGAUACUGCAGUAACUGUGUGAUACGUAAUGUGGAUAUGCAUGGCUUAGUGAUUAGUCAUGGUUUCGAUUGCUGGAGCAGGCAAUGCGUUGCUUUGUUAAGUAAAACACUUCUCUUCACGUUGCUCCAGUCUACUCAGCGGGCAAAAAUUAGUAAUCUUGCGACGGACCGGUGUCCCGUCCAGAGAGAAAUAUAUAUAUAUAUAUAUAUAUAUAUAUAUAUAUAUAUAUAUAUAUAUAUAUAUAUAUAUAUAUAUAUAUAUAUAUAUAUAUAUAUAUAUAUAUAUGUAUGUAUGUAUAAAUAUAUAUAUAUAUAUAUAUAGCCUACAGAUGUGAUCCAGAGAUUCUUUGUAUAGAAGACACUUGUGCUCAAAUGAUUCAAACUUAGAUUCCGAUGUCUUUACAGGGGAUCAACUCCACAGGAUAAAGAAUGGUUAUAAGAGGGAUCUAGUUGAGCGAGUAUAAUUGCUUCUCUCUCUCUCUCUCUCUCUCUCUCUCUCUCUCUCUCUCUCUUUAUAUAUAUAUAUAUAUAUAUACAUAGUUAAUCCAAACAUGAACAGAGAAAACAUAACAACGAGAGGACGUGGAACAAGUAUAGUGCUAUUAGAUGCUCAAGAAAGGAAAGAAAGAAGGAAGAUAUAACGUUUCGAGCGGAGCUCUUCGUCAGAAACAUAGAAAAAGGAAAUGUCCAAGGAAGGGAAGGCGGAGAAAGAAAAUCGCCAACGAUACACACGCGGUCACAUACAUGUGUGUGUGUGUGUGUGUGUGUGUGUGUGUAUGCUGCAGAAAACUGGAAAUCCGGUCUUAUGAUUCAAUAUUACACGGAAAGAAGCUUUAUCCUUUUAUCUUAUUUUUUAUCCAUAAAUGGCAAUAUUAAAAUGGUUUUAACACAUAAAAUGACCGAUAUGAUAAACGCUUUAAAAGUAUAGCAAACUCAAAGUUGUGUACAUCCAUUUUGCUUCGAGUGAGUAUUUGUUAAACGUAACAAAGUCGGUUGCUGUUACCAACAUUGUAAGGACAGAAUGAGCGCCAAAGAGAAUCAGUCACAAAAACGACAUUUCACAGUCACUGGAUCGUGAUGAAACGGUAUCGAAAAUUGCAAAAGAGGACAAAGUUUUGUCUAUUGAAUAAUAUAAUAAAAAGAACUUUGUAAAUAUGGAUUUUUGUCGUUGGGUUUUUUUUCUUUCUUUUUUUUUUUUUGUCUUUGUCAAAUUAUGUGCAAUAUGGUUCCCUUUGUGUACGCUCCAUUCGGCUAUCGGGAUAAUCAAUUAUCCCAGCCAAAUACAUCCCGCCAGUUUCGUUCAUAUAACCGUAGUGUGUGUGUGAGUGUGUGCAUGAGUGGGUGCGUGUGUGUGUCUGUGGCAUGCGGAUACGUGUGUGUGUGUGUGUGUGUGUGUGUGUGUGUGUGUAUGUGUGUGGCUUGCGGAUGCGUGUGUGUAUGUUUGUGACAGUGUGCAUCUAAACAGUAUGAUCUUUUCUACUAUGUAAUUACAUGUAUUAUUACACACACAAAUACAUAUGUAUAUAUUUAUACAAACACACACACAUAUACAUGCAUACAUACAUACAAAGUGUGUGCGUGUACGUACGUAGCUAUAUAUGUGUAUAUUUAUACACACACGCACACAAGCACACACGCACAAAAGCACACAAGCACAAACAUACGCAACACACGUAACUCUAUAAUGUACAAUAGAGUAUAGAACAUAUCUAUAUAUUAUUAGCCAACACUGUAAAUUAUAAAGAAUAUUAACAUGAUAAAUGCAGUACGCUCGCAGACGGAAAAAGAAGGAGCAUCUAUAUAAGCAUAAUUCAAUUCACACACAAACACGCAAGCACACAUCCGCGACGCGUAAUCACGGAGGUGUGAGUUCGAGUCUCAUAGCUGGCCGCCAACACUUUUUUCUGAAAAAUAGGGGUAGCUUAUCCUGUCCAGGCUAUAUUAUUAGCAUUGUCCUGCGUUUGAGAAUUUAAAAUCACUUCUUUAACUUUCUAAGACAUCUCAACGCUUCUAAAGCAAACUUCGUUAUAACCUGGUGCACCUUAUAUUAUGUAUAUUUUUCCACUGUCUCUCUAGUAGACUGCCAAAUGAAGCACUAGCUCUGCUCAUCAUGUAUGUGAUUUCCUGGUCCUGUCGUGCAUUGCCUAAGAUAGUAUUGCUUAGAUAUUUGAAUGCUGUGGAUAGGACUAAUAGUCUAAUAGUGAUGUUUUCUUCUUUUACAGGGACGUUUAGAUUCUCCACAAGUUGGUAAUGGCAUUUAGUUUUUCUGACGUUAAUCUUCAAGAUGAACUGUUGUGCAGCACUGGAAAAGCUAUCUACCAUUUUCUGCAUAUGUUCAGCGCUGUGGGCAACCAGUACGCUAUCAACAGCGAACAGGAUCUCUCGCGCAAGGGCACUCGUAGUGCACGACUUUGCUUUAUACUGUGCAACCUCGAACAAAUCAGCAUCAUGUCACGUCUGGAUGUAAAUCGCGCCUCCUCCAACUCCUUCGAAGGCAACUUCCAGCAUUGCUGCGAGAUAGAGGAAGAAUAAUGC